RNAcentral lists this small nuclear RNA (113 nucleotides) under Canis lupus dingo (dingo). RNAcentral's name for it is "U4 spliceosomal RNA (ENSCAFG00020012653.1)". It matches the Rfam family "U4 spliceosomal RNA". Rfam says of the family: U4 small nuclear RNA (U4 snRNA) is a component of the major U2-dependent spliceosome. The structure of U4 snRNA from yeast and human has been reported. The record is from Rfam by way of RNAcentral. Lineage: Eukaryota; Metazoa; Chordata; Mammalia; Carnivora; Canidae.
AGCUUUGCGCAGUGGCAGUAUCGUAGCCAAUGAGGUUUAUCCGAGGCGCCAUUAUUGCUAAAAAUACCAUUGAAAGCUGUCUUUUCAACAGAAACAAUAAAAGGCAGAAUGCC